RNAcentral lists this transfer RNA (87 nucleotides) under Erysiphe necator (grape powdery mildew). It matches the Rfam family "tRNA". From Rfam's summary of the family: Transfer RNA (tRNA) molecules are approximately 80 nucleotides in length. Their secondary structure includes four short double-helical elements and three loops (D, anti-codon, and T loops). Further hydrogen bonds mediate the characteristic L-shaped molecular structure. tRNAs have two regions of fundamental functional importance: the anti-codon, which is responsible for specific mRNA codon recognition, and the 3' end, to which the tRNAs corresponding amino acid is attached (by aminoacyl-tRNA synthetases). tRNAs cope with the degeneracy of the genetic code in two manners: having more than one tRNA (with a specific anti-codon) for a particular amino acid; and 'wobble' base-pairing, i.e. permitting non-standard base-pairing at the 3rd anti-codon position. Lineage: Eukaryota; Fungi; Ascomycota; Leotiomycetes; Helotiales; Erysiphaceae. The record is from Rfam by way of RNAcentral.
GGGUGCUUGGCGCAAUGGUAGCGCGCGGUCCUCCUAUACAUACAAUAGUAAAGACUGAGGUUGAGGGUUCGAGUCCCUUGGUGCUCG